RNAcentral lists this ribosomal RNA (583 nucleotides) under Cyclocaris sp. 1 HR-2015. RNAcentral's name for it is "bacterial SSU rRNA". It matches the Rfam family "Eukaryotic small subunit ribosomal RNA", at positions 76 to 591 of the family's 1831-position model. The record is from RNAcentral. Lineage: Eukaryota; Metazoa; Arthropoda; Malacostraca; Amphipoda; Lysianassidae.
ACACGGCGAGACCGCGGACGGCUCAUUAAAUCAGUCGUGGUCCAUAUGGGCUAGAGUUUAUCUUACUUGGAUAACUGUGGUAAUUCCAGAGCUAAUACAUGCAACUGAUAUCCCGAGGAUUUGUUGGUGGCUUACGCUGCUCGCAUUGUUCCGACGGAUGCUUUUAUUAGACCAAACCGCUGAGUGCGUGUCGUUAACCCGGCACGUAUGACUCGUUUAAUGGUGACUCUGGAUAACCUUAUUGACAAGCGCACGUACCCCUUGCUGGGACGGCGCUGCCGCUUUCGAGUGUCUGACUUAUCAGCUAUCAACCGUUCGUUAUGUGCGACCGAUGGCUUUGACGGGUAACGGGGAAUCAGAGUUCGAUUCCGGAGAGGCAGCCUGAGAAACGGCUACCACGUCCAAGGACGGCAGCAGGCACGCAAAUUACCCAAUCCCAGCUCAUGGGGGAGGUAGUGACGAAAUCUAACGAUGCGGGCGCCCUUUCUGGGGCCCCGCAAUCGGAAUGGGCACUUUCUAAACAACCUGUUGAGAACCUACUGAAGGGCAAGUCUGGUGCCAGCAGCCGCGGUAAUUCCAGCUU